RNAcentral lists this ribosomal RNA (644 nucleotides) under uncultured bacterium. Its description in RNAcentral is "bacterial SSU rRNA". It matches the Rfam family "Bacterial small subunit ribosomal RNA", at positions 118 to 751 of the family's 1533-position model. The record is from RNAcentral.
UAGGUGAUCUGCCCCGGGAUUGGGAAUAGCUCAUGGAAACAUGGGGUAAUACCGAAUACGUUCCGAUUUUCAUGGAAAUCGGAGGAAAGGCGCGUUUGCGUCGUCCUGGGAUGAGCCUGCGGCGUAUUAGCUUGUUGGUGAGGUAACUGCUCACCAAGGCGAUGAUACGUAGCCGGCCUGAGAGGGUGAUCGGCCACACUGGGACUGAGAUACGGCCCAGACUCCUACGGGAGGCAGCAGCUAAGAAUCUUCCGCAAUGGGCGAAAGCCUGACGGAGCGACGCCGCGUGGGUGAAGAAGGCCUGAUGGUUGUAAAACCCUUUUUGUGCUGAGGAAUAAAGUAGGGAGGAAAUGCCCUGCUGAUGACGUUAAGCGCAGAAUAAGCCCCGGCUAAUUACGUGCCAGCAGCCGCGGUAACACGUAUGGGGCGAGCGUUGUUCGGAUUUAUUGGGCGUAAAGGGCGCGUAGGUGGCUAUGCAAGCUUGGUGUGAAAGACUACAGCUCAACUGUGGAAUUGCGCUGAGAACUGCAUGACUAGAGUUCCGGAGGGGAAGCUGGAAUUCCGGGUGUAGGGGUGAAAUCUGUAGAUAUCCGGAAGAACACCAGAGGCGAAGGCGAGCUUCUGGCCGAGAACUGACGCUGAGG